This 404-nucleotide unclassified non-coding RNA is filed under the name soil metagenome. RNAcentral describes it as "partial contains 5.8S ribosomal RNA, internal transcribed spacer 2, and large subunit ribosomal RNA". The stretch from base 1 to 121 matches the Rfam family "5.8S ribosomal RNA", at positions 35 to 154 of the family's 154-position model. The record is from RNAcentral.
GAUGAAGAACGCAGCGAAAUGCGAUAAGUAAUGUGAAUUCCAGAAUUCAGUGAAUCAUCGAAUCUUUGAACGCACCUUGCGCCCUUUGGCUAUUCCGAAGGGCAUGCCUGUUUGAGUAUCAUGAUCACCUCAACCCUCAUGGUUUGCCAUGAUGGGCUUGGACUUUGGGGGUCUUGCUGGAUUGUAGUCAGCUCCCCUUAAAUGAAUCAGCUUGCCAGUGUUUGGUGGCAUCACAGGUGUGAUAAAUAUCUACGCUUGUGGUUUUACAUCAGAUAACCUUCAGUGAUGGAGGUUCACUGGAGCUCAUAAAGGUGUCUCUCCUCUGUGAGGACGGCUCUUUGAAUGUUUGAUCUCAAAUCAGGCAGGACUACCCGCUGAACUUAAGCAUAUCAAUAAGCGGAGGA